ACUCAGAUCACGUAAAUUUUAAAUAGUCGAACAGACUAAAUCCUAUAGCCCCUUCACCAUAAAUUUAAUUUAAUUCAACAUCGAGGUCGCAAACUUAAUUGUUAAUAAGAACUCAUUAAUUAAAUAACGCUGUUAACCCUAGAGUAAUUUUAUUACCCUAAUUUUAUUAAUUAAAAAUAAAUUAUCUUCAACUAUUACCCCAAUCAAAAAUUAUUAAUUUUAAACUUCUAGGGUCUUCUCGUCCCGAAAACUCAUAAGAGCUUUUUUACUCUUAAAUUAAUUUCAAAUUCAUUUAAAAAAACCUUCCCUUCAGUAUCUACCUUUCAUUCCAGCCCCCAAUUAAAAAG
RNAcentral lists this ribosomal RNA (347 nucleotides) under Heterovonones sp. MZSP 73161. RNAcentral's name for it is "partial large subunit ribosomal RNA". The record is from RNAcentral. Lineage: Eukaryota; Metazoa; Arthropoda; Arachnida; Opiliones; Cosmetidae.